Molecule: ribosomal RNA, 264 nt
Filed under: uncultured bacterium
Lineage: Bacteria
Description: partial 16S ribosomal RNA
Rfam family: Bacterial small subunit ribosomal RNA
Source: RNAcentral
GUCCACGCCCUAAACGAUGCAUAUUUGGUGUGGGUCAUUCAGUUGAUCCGUGCCGGAGCUAACGCGUUAAAUAUGCCGCCUGUGGAGUACAGUCGCAAGGCUGAAACUCAAAGGAAUUGACGGGGGCCCGCACAAGCGGUGGAGCAUGUGGUUCAAUUCGACGCAACGCGAAGAACCUUACCUGGGCUCGAACGGCUUCUCAACGCCGGUGGAAACACUGGUACCCCGCAAGGGGGUGGAGUCGAGGUGCUGCAUGGCUGUCGU